AGUCACGGGACAAGUUUCUGUAAGGGAGCUAACGAGUCCUCGUAUUUGUGACUUUUUUUUCAUUGCUGUGACCAAAUACCUCACAGGGAUGAACUCAGAAGCAGGGGGAUUUCUUUGGACUCUGGGCUUGCACAGAAGUUCCCUACCUAAGGGAGGCUCAGAAUGAGACUCUCCAUGUAAAAAAAUCAGGCACUCAAGAGACGGACAGAAGAGGACAUCAUUAGGUCAAGGUCAACCUGGACAGCAUAGCAAAACCCUGUCUGCAAAGAGAUGGGGGAGAUGGAGAAAUGGGGACCAGGUGCAGCCUCAGAGUCAAUGAGAAGAUAGACUCUGCACUUGGGGUACAUUCAUCCAUGUCCUCUUGAAACAGCUUCUCAAUCCUCCUGCCAUGUCUCUCUGCUCAGGAUGUUCCCGCCACUGAGCCUGAGCCUGGCAUCCAGGAAGCCCUAGCCAAGAGCCUAGCAGUGACCAUUUGUCUACCCAGUGGCGGAUCAGCCUGGAGGUGAAAUGAGGAGAGUCUUGGCUGUAGGCACGGUCCCAGCAUCAGUGGGGUCUUGGGAGACUUUGACCAUCAGUAGAGGAGGUUUGGGGGGACAAUAUUAUUAAACUAAAAUGACCUUUGCCAAGAGC
RNAcentral lists this long non-coding RNA (630 nucleotides) under Mus pahari (shrew mouse). Its description in RNAcentral is "lncRNA (MGP_PahariEiJ_G0005300.1)". Lineage: Eukaryota; Metazoa; Chordata; Mammalia; Rodentia; Muridae. The record is from RNAcentral.